GUAAAGCGUGCGCAGGCGGUUUGUAAGACUGUCGUGAAAUCCCCGGGCUCAACCUGGGAAUGGCGAUGGUGACUGCAAGGCUAGAGUUUGGCAGAGGGGGUAGAAUUCCACGUGUAGCAGUGAAAUGCGUAGAUAUGUGGAGGAACACCGAUGGCGAAGGCAGCCCCCUGGGUCAAAACUGACGCUCAUGCACGAAAGCGUGGGGAGCAAACAGGAUUAGAUACCCGUGU
Molecule: ribosomal RNA, 230 nt
Filed under: uncultured bacterium
Lineage: Bacteria
Description: partial 16S ribosomal RNA
Rfam family: Bacterial small subunit ribosomal RNA
Source: RNAcentral